RNAcentral lists this long non-coding RNA (325 nucleotides) under Homo sapiens (human). RNAcentral describes it as "HSALNT0313839". The record is from RNAcentral. Lineage: Eukaryota; Metazoa; Chordata; Mammalia; Primates; Hominidae.
AAGCAAUCCUUCCACUUCAGUCCCAAGUAGCUAAUACUACUAGAUUAACCUCCGCACAGGGCCUCUGGCCACACACUCUCAGUCUCCUCUGGCCUCCUGCACCAUCAGUUCCCUCCAGUCCUCCAGACUCAUCAGCUGCCAUGAUGCUGCCUCUGAGAUUUUCCUGCUCACCUACUGCUGAACCACACACCCAACCCUCCUUUGCUACAGUGGUCAGCCAACAACAUAGCCAAGAAAUUAUGGAAGUUUUGUAGAAAUUAAACUAAGGCGAUGAACAACAGUGGUUAAAAGUAGAAAUAAAAUUAUGUCAUUUUGGCAGUCUGCA